AACGCACAUUGCGCCCCGUGGUAUUCCGCGGGGCAUACCUGUUCGAGCGUCAUUAUGACCAAUCCCGCUCGCGGGGUCUUGGGCACCGCCUCUGGGCGGGCCUCAAAAUCAGUGGCGGUACGGCCGGGCUCUGAGCGUAGUAAAUCUUCUCGCUACAGGGUCCCGGGCGGCACUGGCCAGCAACCCCCAAUCUUUUACAGGUCGACCUCGGAUCAGGUAGGGAUACCCGCUGAACAUAA
RNAcentral lists this unclassified non-coding RNA (239 nucleotides) under uncultured Filosporella. RNAcentral's name for it is "partial contains 5.8S ribosomal RNA, internal transcribed spacer 2, and large subunit ribosomal RNA". The record is from RNAcentral. Lineage: Eukaryota; Fungi; Ascomycota; Leotiomycetes; Helotiales.